GGGUCAUUAGGUUGGUCGUGCCACCGGUACGUACUGGUCUCACUGAUUCCUCCUUCCUGAAGAACCGUAAUGCCAUUAAUUUGGUGUUGCGGGGAAACAGGACUGUUACUUUGAAAAAAUUAGAGUUUUUAAAGCAAGCUAACGCUUGAAUACAUUAGCAUGGAAUAAUGAAAUAGGACGAUCGAUCCUAUUUUGUUGGUUUCUAGGAUUGACGUA
Molecule: ribosomal RNA, 216 nt
Filed under: Glomeromycotina sp.
Lineage: Eukaryota; Fungi; Glomeromycota
Description: partial small subunit ribosomal RNA
Rfam family: Eukaryotic small subunit ribosomal RNA (bases 40-216)
Source: RNAcentral